CCUACGGGAGGCAGCAGUGAGGAAUAUUGGUCAAUGGACGCGAGUCUGAACCAGCCAAGCAGCGUGAAGGAUGACUGCCCUAUGGGUUGUAAACUUCUUUUAUAUGGGGAUAAACUGUUACACGUGUGGGAGGUUGUAUGUAUCAUACGAAUAAGGAUCGGCUAACUCCGUGCCAGCAGCCGCGGUAAUACGGAGGAUCCGAGCGUUAUCCGGAUUUAUUGGGUUUAAAGGGUGCGUAGGGGGUUUGAUAAGUUAGGUGUGAAAGGUUGGGGCUCAACCGUGAAAUUGCCGUUAAUACUGGCAGUCUAGAGAACAGUUGAGGUAGGCGGAAUGUGUGGUGUAGCGGUGAAAUGCUUAGAGAUCACACAGAACACCGAUUGCGAAGGCAGCUCACCGAACUACAUCUGACGUUGAGGCACGAAAGUGUGGGUAUCAAACAGGAUUAGAUACCCCGGUAGUC
RNAcentral lists this ribosomal RNA (460 nucleotides) under uncultured bacterium. Its description in RNAcentral is "partial 16S ribosomal RNA". It matches the Rfam family "Bacterial small subunit ribosomal RNA", at positions 338 to 795 of the family's 1533-position model. The record is from RNAcentral.